AAAUGGUCUCAACUCCAUCCCCUAUUUUAAUACAUCUUCCAGAGAAGAUUUAGUUCCCGUUUUGUUAAAUAUAAAAAUAUUCAAACACCAUUCUUUAAUAAUUUAAACUUUUUAGAAUAUAACGGUCGUCUCACAUGAUAUCAAAACAGGAGGUCUGAAUUCGAGUUAUGCUAGACUCCUAGUAUUAUUAAUUUUCUCCCAUUUAAUUUAAAUCCACGUCAUGGGCCUUGCAAAAAGUCUCGAAUUUAGAUAUGAGGGGAAGUGUUAAAUAUAAAAAUAUAUAAACACCGUUUUCUAAUAAUUUUUAAGUUUUUAGAGUGUAAUGAUUGUCUUACAUAUUAUCAGAGCAGAAGGUCUUGAGUUCGAGUCAUGCCAAAUGCGACAACUGAGAUAAGCAAGCCAAAAAUAAACUAUGUGAUUGAAAGGAAUGAGUUUGAAAGAUUUUUCAAAUCUAUGAUUUGAUAGUAUAAUAUGUUGAGCCUAUGAGAUGAUUUAUCUUGUUCGAGAAAAUAGUUUAAAGGCUGAAUAUGUUAUUUAAUUUUUGAUAUUUGAUUUAAUUUUUCUGAAUAAAUUAGAAAGAAAUAUGAAUAAGAUAUUCAAAUAAAGCAUAUGAAUUUUUUUUUAUGUGAUUGGAAGAAAAGAGCUUGAUUUGUGCUCUUUAAA
This 663-nucleotide long non-coding RNA is filed under the name Ananas comosus (pineapple). Its description in RNAcentral is "long non-coding RNA (ACOM_LNC018528)". Lineage: Eukaryota; Viridiplantae; Streptophyta; Magnoliopsida; Poales; Bromeliaceae. The record is from RNAcentral.